Long non-coding RNA from Beta vulgaris subsp. vulgaris (sugar beet), 523 nucleotides. RefSeq lists it as uncharacterized. The record is from RefSeq and is a predicted model, not a curated record. Lineage: Eukaryota; Viridiplantae; Streptophyta; Magnoliopsida; Caryophyllales; Amaranthaceae. The transcript has 3 exons.
AGAGAAUUGUAGACACAAAGACUCAAAGAGGCGAUUGAAGAGAGAAGAAUUUCGAAGAAAACGACCCUAUCCAGAAAUGGAUGAAAAUCAAUAUGAAGGCUUUUCAACUCCUACCUCCCAUACAUCUUCUGAUCGUACUACUGGUUCGAAUGCACUUACUAUGCCUUCAAAGAAAACCAAGCGAGCUGGACCUCCUGAAGGCAGAAGAAGGGCCCCAAUUUGGGAUCAUUAUGUUUUCUCACAGGUGAAUGGUAAGGAUGAAAUGGAAGGUAAGAUGGAAACAUUUGCAACAUUUGCCAUGUAUGGGUAGAUUUUUUCAUAUUCGUUGUUGUGCGCAUAUUUUGAACCUUAUUGUUCAAUGUGGCAUGAAAACUGUAGAUGCUAGUGUGAUUAAGUUACGUGAUGCAGUGAAUUACAUUGAAGCUUCUGAUUUUAGAAAAUGUAAAUUUGACCAAUGUGUGAUUGAUUCAAGGUGUAAGUUUGUUGGUAGGUUAACAUAUGAUUGUGUACAAGGUGGAAUUCC